CGGGGGGAGCAAGCGUUGUUCGGAUUUACUGGGCGUAAAGGGCGCGUAGGCGGCCACCGCAAGUCAGUUGUGAAAUCUCUGGGCUUAACCCAGAAAGGUCAACUGAUACUGCGGGGCUAGAGUGCAGAAGGGGCAACUGGAAUUCUCGGUGUAGCGGUGAAAUGCGUAGAUAUCGAGAGGAACACCUGCGGCGAAGGCGGGUUGCUGGGCUGACACUGACGCUGAGGCGCGAAAGCUAGGGGAGCGAACGGGAUUAGAUACCCCGGUAGUCCUAGCCUUAAACGAUGAAUGCUUAGUGUCUGGGGUUUUAUAGUCCCCGGGUGCCGUCGCUAACGCUUUAAGCAUUCCGCCUGGGGAGUACGGUCGCAAGACUG
This 374-nucleotide ribosomal RNA is filed under the name uncultured organism. RNAcentral's name for it is "bacterial SSU rRNA". It matches the Rfam family "Bacterial small subunit ribosomal RNA", at positions 526 to 896 of the family's 1533-position model. The record is from RNAcentral.